UGCAGUCGACGGUGAAGCAGAGCUUGCUCUGUGGAUCAGUGGCGAACGGGUGAGUAACACGUGAGCAAUCUGCCCCUGACUCUGGGAUAAGCGCUGGAAACGGCGUCUAAUACCGGAUACGAGCUGCGACCGCAUGGUCAGUAGCUGGAAAGAAUUUCGGUCAGGGAUGAGCUCGCGGCCUAUCAGCUUGUUGGUGAGGUAAUGGCUCACCAAGGCGUCGACGGGUAGCCGGCCUGAGAGGGUGACCGGCCACACUGGGACUGAGACACGGCCCAGACUCCUACGGGAGGCAGCAGUGGGGAAUAUUGCACAAUGGGCGAAAGCCUGAUGCAGCAACGCCGCGUGAGGGAUGACGGCCUUCGGGUUGUAAACCUCUUUUAGCAGGGAAGAAGCGAAAGUGACGGUACCUGCAGAAAAAGCGCCGGCUAACUACGUGCCAGCAGCCGCGGUAAUACGUAGGGCGCAAGCGUUAUCCGGAAUUAUUGGGCGUAAAGAGCUCGUAGGCGGUCUGUCGCGUCUGCUGUGAAAACCCGAGGCUCAACCUCGGGCCUGCAGUGGGUACGGGCAGACUAGAGUGCGGUAGGGGAGAUUGGAAUUCCUGGUGUAGCGGUGGAAUGCGCAGAUAUCAGGAGGAACACCGAUGGCGAAGGCAGAUCUCUGGGCCGUAACUGACGCUGAGGAGCGAAAGGGUGGGGAGCAAACAGGCUUAGAUACCCUGGUAGUCCACCCCGUAAACGUUGGGAACUAGUUGUGGGGUCCAUUCCACGGAUUCCGUGACGCAGCUAACGCAUUAAGUUCCCCGCCUGGGGAGUACGGCCGCAAGGCUAAAACUCAAAGGAAUUGACGGGGACCCGCACAAGCGGCGGAGCAUGCGGAUUAAUUCGAUGCAACGCGAAGAACCUUACCAAGGCUUGACAUAUAGAGGAAACGUCUGGAAACAGUCGCCCCGCAAGGUCUCUAUACAGGUGGUGCAUGGUUGUCGUCAGCUCGUGUCGUGAGAUGUUGGGUUAAGUCCCGCAACGAGCGCAACCCUCGUUCUAUGUUGCCAGCACGUAAUGGUGGGAACUCAUGGGAUACUGCCGGGGUCAACUCGGAGGAAGGUGGGGAUGACGUCAAAUCAUCAUGCCCCUUAUGUCUUGGGCUUCACGCAUGCUACAAUGGCCGGUACAAAGGGCUGCAAUACCGUGAGGUGGAGCGAAUCCCAAAAAGCCGGUCCCAGUUCGGAUUGAGGUCUGCAACUCGACCUCAUGAAGUCGGAGUCGCUAGUAAUCGCAGAUCAGCAACGCUGCGGUGAAUACGUUCCCGGGUCUUGUACACACCGCCCGUCAAGUCAUGAAAGUCGGUAACACCUGAAGCCGGUGGCCCAACCCUUGUGGAGGAGCC
This 1383-nucleotide ribosomal RNA is filed under the name Microbacterium sp. LP05_07. RNAcentral describes it as "bacterial SSU rRNA". It matches the Rfam family "Bacterial small subunit ribosomal RNA". Lineage: Bacteria; Bacillati; Actinomycetota; Actinomycetes; Micrococcales; Microbacteriaceae. The record is from RNAcentral.